This 857-nucleotide unclassified non-coding RNA is filed under the name Arabidopsis thaliana (thale cress). Lineage: Eukaryota; Viridiplantae; Streptophyta; Magnoliopsida; Brassicales; Brassicaceae. The record is from RNAcentral.
UCGAAAUUCAAAAUAGCAUUAUCGAAAAUUCAAAAAGGCCGGAGAAGAAGAGAUGAAGCAGAAAAGAAAGGUCUACGACGAUAGUUCUCUGGAGAGUUGCAGAUCUCCAGCAGAAAGGUUUUGCUUCCAUUUAUUGUAAACAUUCGUUUGCGUAUAGAUAUCCAGUAGAAAUUUCUGAUAAAACAUUCGUCUAUUUAGAGCUCAAUCUCGUUCUUCACUUGGAAAUCGUGAUGGGAUUUCGAAUGAUGUGUAAAUGAUUAAUUACGUUGAAUACUGAAUAGUCUCGUACUACUCGCAUUAAUCUCGUACUGCUGACUUUGGGCUUCGUUCUGGUUUUCGAAUGGUGAGUGUUCAAAAAGAGGCAAUUGCAUAAGUACGGAGCAUUAAGUCCAGUCCAGUCCAGACACAGUAAAUCCAACAACAAAAGUAAUACUUUUCAUUCUCCAGAGACUGAGCAUGGCAGAGAACAUGUUCUGAUAAUAAGCCGCAGAUGCACUGUCCUCAACAAAAGCACCAUCAGAAUCUGAUACCAGUAAAAGCCACUAAAUGGACUCUGUUUCAUCAAAGAGGUUCUAGAGAUCAGCUUUUCAUAUACUUAUUGUUCUGUAGUGACGUGUCUUUGGCCUCUACCAACCUUUCACUUUGCUUAUCCCCAACAAUUUCUGGUGCGUGAAAGCUCUUUUGCUGGCACAAAGAAAGCUCUUUUACUGGCACAAAUGAUGGCUCAAAGACACAUCUGCAACACCCUCCAAGUUUUGACUAUGGAAUUUAAGCAAACAUCAACAUCACAUUUUCACCUAAAAAGGUAAAUUCUCCCUUUUUACCUGAUUCUUUCUGUGACUUUAGCCUUUCAAAAU